AUUGAACGCUGGCGGCAGGCCUAACACAUGCAAGUCGAGCGGAUGAAGGGAGCUUGCUCCUGGAUUCAGCGGCGGACGGGUGAGUAAUGCCUAGGAAUCUGCCUGGUAGUGGGGGAUAACGUCCGGAAACGGGCGCUAAUACCGCAUACGCCCUGAGGGAGAAAGUGGGGGAUCUUCGGACCUCCCGCUAUCAGAUGAGCCUAGGUCGGAUUAGCUAGUUGGUGGGGUAAAGGCCUACCAAGGCGACGAUCCGUAACUGGUCUGAGAGGAUGAUCAGUCACACUGGAACUGAGACACGGUCCAGACUCCUACGGGAGGCAGCAGUGGGGAAUAUUGGACAAUGGGCGAAAGCCUGAUCCAGCCAUGCCGCGUGUGUGAAGAAGGUCUUCGGAUUGUAAAGCACUUUAAGUUGGGAGGAAGGGCAGUAAGUUAAUACCUUGCUGUUUUGACGGUACCAACAGAAUAAGCACCGGCUAACUUCGUG
This 484-nucleotide ribosomal RNA is filed under the name uncultured bacterium. RNAcentral describes it as "partial 16S ribosomal RNA". It matches the Rfam family "Bacterial small subunit ribosomal RNA", at positions 30 to 507 of the family's 1533-position model. The record is from RNAcentral.